Molecule: ribosomal RNA, 231 nt
Filed under: uncultured bacterium
Lineage: Bacteria
Description: partial 16S ribosomal RNA
Rfam family: Bacterial small subunit ribosomal RNA
Source: RNAcentral
GAUCAUGGCUCAGGACGAACGCUGGCGGCGUGCCUAACACAUGCAAGUCGAGCGGGGAAUAUUGAGCAGCUUGCUGCUUGGUAUUUCUAGCGGCGGACGGGUGAGUAACGCGUGAGCAACCUGCCUUUAUCAGGGGGAUAACGCAUCGAAAGAUGUGCUAAUACCGCGUAAGACCACAGCUUCACAUGGAGCAGGGGUCAAAGGAGUAAUCCGGAUAAAGAUGGGCUCGCG